Long non-coding RNA from Ornithorhynchus anatinus (platypus), 724 nucleotides. RefSeq lists it as uncharacterized. Lineage: Eukaryota; Metazoa; Chordata; Mammalia; Monotremata; Ornithorhynchidae. The record is from RefSeq and is a predicted model, not a curated record. The transcript has 4 exons.
AAGUUGCUUUUGCUGUUUCUUCUGUCUCCCCACAGCUCCACGCCUGGUACUGCUACUUGUUUCAAAUCCAGGGCUUCUUUGAUAUUCCAGUGGAUAAUUUGUAUGCUGAACCUGCUGUGCUUCAGUGAAUUGGAGAAAGCAUCCUAGAGUUAGAAGAAUUAUAUCAUCGUGUCACCUGAUGCUGAUCUAGCCAAAAGGCUGAACAGUUCAUCUGGGCAGAUAUGUGUAAAAAUCGGCAUUGACAGACAGUGUGAGAUUUCAAGAUGGAGAAGAGCCCCUCUCCUCAAAAGAAAGACGAUUAGCUCUCUGCAACCCAGCAUCACUGAAGAGAUGAAGCGAGACGGGGUUGACGAUUUCUGAUCACACCCCAGAAGGAAUCCUGUCAUGGGAGCGGCAGCCUCAGAAUGCAUCUUUCUGAUGACCUGGAGAAGACUGGAGAAUCUGCUAACUGUUGAAUCAGAUUUUCCCCAGAUGCCGACUCAUUCAUUCUCUGGUGGCUUGGAUCCAAUCCACUAGGAAUCACUCAACUCAUCUUCAAGAGCCUCCAAGGUUGUCAACUAGGAGGGAGAGCUGUGAGCUCUUUCCUUUGGGAAAAGUUGGAAAACUAGAGCCUUGUUCCAGCUAACUUAGGUAAUGCUCUUUGAUUAACCUUUGUCCUACUGGAUAGUCCUCUAGACUGUCAGCUCGUGGUGGGCAGAAUAAAUCUACCAACUCUGUUGUAUUG